This 753-nucleotide ribosomal RNA is filed under the name uncultured Pseudomonas sp. RNAcentral's name for it is "bacterial SSU rRNA". It matches the Rfam family "Bacterial small subunit ribosomal RNA", at positions 28 to 776 of the family's 1533-position model. The record is from RNAcentral. Lineage: Bacteria; Pseudomonadati; Pseudomonadota; Gammaproteobacteria; Pseudomonadales; Pseudomonadaceae.
AUUGAACGCUGGCGGCAGGCCUAACACAUGCAAGUCGGGCGGUAGAGAGAAGCUUGCUUCUCUUGAGAGCGGCGGACGGGUGAGUAAUGCCUAGGAAUCUGCCUGGUAGUGGGGGAUAACGUUCGGAAACGGACGCUAAUACCGCAUACGUCCUACGGGAGAAAGCAGGGGACCUUCGGGCCUUGCGCUAUCAGAUGAGCCUAGGUCGGAUUAGCUAGUUGGUGAGGUAAUGGCUCACCAAGGCGACGAUCCGUAACUGGUCUGAGAGGAUGAUCAGUCACACUGGAACUGAGACACGGUCCAGACUCCUACGGGAGGCAGCAGUGGGGAAUAUUGGACAAUGGGCGAAAGCCUGAUCCAGCCAUGCCGCGUGUGUGAAGAAGGUCUUCGGAUUGUAAAGCACUUUAAGUUGGGAGGAAGGGUUGUAGAUUAAUACUCUGCAAUUUUGACGUUACCGACAGAAUAAGCACCGGCUAACUCUGUGCCAGCAGCCGCGGUAAUACAGAGGGUGCAAGCGUUAAUCGGAAUUACUGGGCGUAAAGCGCGCGUAGGUGGUUUGUUAAGUUGGAUGUGAAAUCCCCGGGCUCAACCUGGGAACUGCAUUCAAAUAAUUAACCCUCACUAAAGGGAACAAAAGGUGGGUUCCGGGCCCCCCCGCGAAAUUGACGGUAUCGAUAAAGGAACUACCCACUGUGGAAUUCCCCCUUAGAGUUUUAUCAUCGCUCAGGUGCGAAAGCGUGGGGAGCAAACAGG